Molecule: ribosomal RNA, 739 nt
Filed under: uncultured bacterium
Lineage: Bacteria
Description: bacterial SSU rRNA
Rfam family: Bacterial small subunit ribosomal RNA
Source: RNAcentral
UNGCGUCGUCUGUGAAAUUCCGGGGNUUAACUUCGGGGUGGCAGGCGAUACGGGCAUAACUAGAGUGCUGUAGGGGAGACUGGAAUUCNUGGUGUAGCGGUGGAAUGCGCAGAUAUCAGGAGGAACACCGAUGGCGAAGGCAGGUCUCUGGGCAGUAACUGACGCUGAGGAGCGAAAGCAUGGGGAGCGAACAGGAUUAGAUACCCUGGUAGUCCAUGCUGUAAACGGUGGGCGUUAGGUGUGGGGACCGGUUUGGUUUCUGUGCCGUAGCUAACGCAUUAAGCGCCCCGCCUGGGGAGUACGGCCGCAAGGCUAAAACUCAAAGGAAUUGACGGGGGCCCGCACAAGCGGCGGAGCAUGUGGAUUAAUUCGAUGCAACGCGAAGAACCUUACCUGGGUUUGACAUGCACCAGACGGUUGUAGAGAUACGUACCUCCCUUUGUGGUUGGUGUGCAGGUGGUGCAUGGUUGUCGUCAGCUCGUGUCGUGAGAUGUUGGGUUAAGUCCCGCAACGGGCGCAACCCUUGUCUUAUGUUGCCAGCACUUUGGGUGGGGACUCAUGAGAGACUGCCGGGGUUAACUCGGAGGAAGGUGGGGAUGACGUCAAAUCAUCAUGCCCUUUAUGCCCAGGGCUUCACACAUGCUACAAUGGUUAGUACAACGCGCGGCAAGCCUGUGAGGGUGAGCGAAUCGCUGAAAGCUAAUCUCAGUUCGGAUUGGGGUCUGCAACUCGACCCCAU